This 253-nucleotide ribosomal RNA is filed under the name uncultured bacterium. Its description in RNAcentral is "partial 16S ribosomal RNA". It matches the Rfam family "Bacterial small subunit ribosomal RNA", at positions 524 to 776 of the family's 1533-position model. The record is from RNAcentral.
UACGAAGGGGGCUAGCGUUGCUCGGAAUCACUGGGCGUAAAGCGCACGUAGGCGGAUCGUUAAGUCAGGGGUGAAAUCCUGGAGCUCAACUCCAGAACUGCCUUUGAUACUGGCGACCUUGAGUCCGGGAGAGGUGAGUGGAACUCCGAGUGUAGAGGUGAAAUUCGUAGAUAUUCGGAAGAACACCAGCGGCGAAGGCGGCUCACUGGCCCGGUACUGACGCUGAGGUGCGAAAGCGUGGGGAGCAAACAGG